GGCAAGAUGGCCGAGUGGUCUAAGGCGCUGUGUUCAGGUGACUUCCUCCUCAUGAUCUCAUGAGGAGAGCAGUUCGCUUCGCAGUCUUCGGGCGUGGGUUCAAAUCCCACUCUUGUCA
This is a non-coding RNA of Apiotrichum porosum, 118 nucleotides long. Lineage: Eukaryota; Fungi; Basidiomycota; Tremellomycetes; Trichosporonales; Trichosporonaceae. The record is from the annotation of a RefSeq genome assembly.